This is a long non-coding RNA of Rhagoletis pomonella (apple maggot), 1729 nucleotides long. RefSeq lists it as uncharacterized. Lineage: Eukaryota; Metazoa; Arthropoda; Insecta; Diptera; Tephritidae. The record is from RefSeq and is a predicted model, not a curated record. The transcript has 2 exons.
AGUGAAAAAUGAACUGGUUCGGAAUUGCACAACGGGGUCAUGGUAACCCCGGACAGCCUCGAACAUUCUUUUGACAUUCCUCCUUGCACUGCGGCAAAUUCCCGGUGGAAGAGUAACGGAACCAGUCCAAAUGACGCAGUGCCCGUUAUUCUUCCAACGGGAAUAACUAAUUUCCCGCAGUGCAAAGGUAUAAAAACCCGCUGGCAACCCCACGAUCGGCCAUUUGUAUGUCAUUCAACAGCGAAGUGCGGAACAACCGGAAAAAAAUGAAACAUAUAUUUUCAUUCAGCCGGUUAAAGUGAAGCGGUGAAAAAAUAAAACAAUUUCAAUUAAAAUUAAAAAGAAAAGUGUCUAAAAAGAACAGUUAAAUCGCUCUAACGCGAUAAAGUGGAAAAAAGGAAAAUAAAUUUAAAACAAUAGAAAAACUAAAAACGAAAACAAAUUUUUUUCUGCUAAAACGUGCCAGUGCAGGAAGCGGGUAGUUUUUGAGCAGCUAAGGCGCAUCCCGUAUCCGUGCACCAUCGGGACAACGACACCUUUACCUCAACAGCGGCAAGCUGCGAGAACGAGCUCGCAGUUGCAUUUUGCUCGCCCGUCAGAAGCGCCCAGAGGAACCAGCGUGCUCCACAGUUGCGCGUCAGCGCCCCCAAGCCCGACCGACGCACUACUAUUGUGCGCCGGAAGCUCCAUCGCACUCCACGCUCCCUCCGCAACAGCAGCACCACGGCAACACCAAGGAAACCAAUCUGGCGCUCCAGCAGCACACACAUCCAUUUGUCCGCAACCGCAGGGUGGUAAAUACAGCGCACAGUCCUCUAUCUGCUAACACUGGAUUAGGUACUGCCCCAGUCCGCACACCGCCCAGCACGGUAUCCACGACGCCGCCACAGUAGCGGCUACUGUAACAGCGCACACGUAACACGCGCUAUAGGAAGCAGCAAGAACCGCCACAGUAGCGAGUACAGCAGCGCGCUACAGCGACAAAUAAAACGCGCAACAACGUGCGCAGGCAACAACAUCCGCCACAGCAGCGGGUGCAACAACGCGCGGAAGCAACACCGCACCAUCGACAACAACAACCGCCACAGCAGGGUGCAACAACGCGCGACUACAGCAGCGCGCUACAGCGACAACUAAAACGCGCAACAACGUGCGCAGGCAACAACAUCCGCCACAGCAGCGGGUGCAACAACGCGCAGAAGCAACACCGCGCCAUCGACAACAACAUCCGCCACAGCAGGGUGCAACAACGCGCGACUACAGCAGCGCGCUACAGCGACAACUAAAACGCGCAACAACGUGCGCAGGCAACAACAUCCGCCACAGCAGCGGGUGCAACAACGCGCGGAAGCAACACCGCGCCAUCGACAACAACAACCGCCACAGCAGGGUGCAACAACGCGCGACUACAGCAGCGCGCUACAGCGACAAAUAAAACGCGCAACAACGUGCGCAGGCAACAACAUCCGACACAGCAGCGGGCGCAACAACGCGCGGAAGCAACACCGAGCCAUCCACAACAACAACCGCCACAGCAGCGGGUGCAACAAUGCCCGCCACAGCAGCGUGGACAACAGCGCGCAACACCAACAACAACAGCGCACAACGCUAACAGAAGCAGCGCUCAACACGAGCAACAACAGCGCACAACCCCAGCGACUACAACAACAGCAGGCCACACCCAAGCCUGCUGCAACAAGGGUGAGUCCUUCGGGCCCAAACAUAAUCU